UGUAUCCUACGGGGCGCAGCAGUGAGGAAUAUUGGUCAAUGGGCGAGAGCCUGAACCAGCCAAGUCGCGUGAAGGAUGAAGGAUCUAUGGUUUGUAAACUUCUUUUAUAUGGGAAUAAAGUGAGGAACGUGUUCCUUUUUGUAUGUACCAUAUGAAUAAGCAUCGGCUAACUCCGUGCCAGCAGCCGCGGUAAUACGGAGGAUGCGAGCGUUAUCCGGAUUUAUUGGGUUUAAAGGGUGCGUAGGUGGUUAAUUAAGUCAGCGGUGAAAGUUUGUGGCUCAACCAUAAGAUUGCAAUUGAUACUG
This 305-nucleotide ribosomal RNA is filed under the name uncultured bacterium. RNAcentral describes it as "bacterial SSU rRNA". It matches the Rfam family "Bacterial small subunit ribosomal RNA", at positions 333 to 635 of the family's 1533-position model. The record is from RNAcentral.